AGCAGCCGCGGUAAUUCCAGCUCCAAUAGCGUAUAUUAAAGUUGUUGCAGUUAAGAAGCUUGUAGUUGAAUUUCGGGAUCAAUUAAUCGGUCGUACCUAUGGUACGUACUGAUUUUAUUGGUUUCUCCCUUCUGACGAACCAUGAUGUCAUUAAUUUGGUGUCGUGGAGAAUCAGGACUGUUACUUUGAAAAAUUGAGUGUUUAAAGCUGAAUACAUUAGCAUGGAAUAAUGAAAUAGGGCGUUUGAUCCUAUUUUGUUGGUUUCUAAGAUCGACGUAAUGAUUAAUAGGGAUAGUUGGGGGCAUUAGUAUUCAAUUGUCAGAGGUGAAAUUCUUGGAUUUAUUGAAGACUAACUACAGCGAAAGCAUUUGCCAAGGAUGUUUUCA
Molecule: ribosomal RNA, 386 nt
Filed under: uncultured Glomeromycotina
Lineage: Eukaryota; Fungi; Glomeromycota
Description: SSU rRNA
Rfam family: Eukaryotic small subunit ribosomal RNA
Source: RNAcentral